GAGAGUAGUGAGGAGACAGGUUUCAGAGCUGGGAGAGUCCUUGGGCUCAUUUGGUUGUCAGAUUCCUGGUCACCAUGUGGGAAAUCCGGGAAAGGCAGGGGACUUCGCUGGCGACGCAUGGCAUAAAUAUACCCAACGCCGGGGCUCCUGGGAUCGACGGAUUUUUUUUUUCAAUGCCUUAAUGGGUAAUUUCCUUCCGUAGCAACGAGAAAAUGACUGCCUAGUUAUUGUAGUCUAUGCGUAGAAAUCUACAGCAAAUGAUGGAAAUUAACAAGGCAGGAGGGAGAAAAGGCCAAAGGAACCGCCGCGGCCUUUCGUCCCGAUCUUGGGGCUGCGCUGUUUUUCUCCGGGAAACACCUAGCGAGGCCGAGAAAUUCAGGCCUAAAGCGAAGAUCUAGAGGCCAAGAAUAGUGACCAAGGUCCCUCCACCUCCAAGACCAGGUCACUGCCAGGGGUCCCCGCCCAGAGUCGAGGCGAUGCCUCCCUACAGCGCCACCGCGUGGGCUGCGGCUGAAACCGGCUGCGCUGGCUGGAGCGAACCCUUCCGCAGCGCCGGAAUCCUCAGGUUAAAGAGGAGUGGAGCGGGUGCGGUGCCCAGUCCAGGACACCAUCAGACUACUCAACACCAAACUGUGACCGCGUAUGCAAAACAUCCUUGCCUGCAGUUGCGCCCAGACGCUUGUGUUGAAAACUACACCUAAAAAGAGCAAGACAUGACAUUCCACCAGCAUCCCAAACUUCUUGGCAGGCCGAUCCACACCACCCUAGCCCGGGCAGGGGAGUUCAGGCCGUCGGAUGCCAGGCAGCCCUAACCGGAGCAGUCGCCGGAGCUCACUGCGACUUCGCUGCUAGGCUAGAACUUCACAGAGUUGUUCAAGCCAGGACGCAAAGUCUAGGCACUUACUGGAACCACAGAGAAGGCGCGUAGUCAGUGUAUCCUGCGGACCAAAUUGCCCAGGGACUGCUUAGAAUACUUCCUUGGAUGGCGCUUUCACUUUUUUCAGGGUCACAGGAAGCCCACCAGGCACUCGCUUAGUCCAGUUAGGCUUGUAGUCUGAACUAAAGUCCGGGUGACAGAGACUCUGCAUCCCGGGACUCUGUCCUCUUCAUGCACGGUGGGUGCCUUCCCUCCGCGUCCUGAGGACAAGCCCAGCAGAGCUUGGCGUCUCCUGGCGCCGGUCUGGAGUCGCAUUAAGACGUGGCUUAGAAUGCUUUGCUAGGAAGGGUGGUGGUGUUGUUUAAUAAAUUAAAUUCUCUACCCACCUCUACCCAUCCCCUCACUCGCACACAGUGGAACUGCCAGCAAUUGAAGGGAAUAAAUAGCCUACUCAGAAAGGUGUGAAUUCACCUAAUGCCCACCCUAAUUAUAACAGGAGCAUGCCCUGGACACCCGAACGUGCAAGUUCCUCUCCGGGCCAGAUCUGGGUCUUUGGAACCAGUGACCAGUGCCACCCAAAAUAUAUCUCUGCAGUCGGGAGGGUUGAAUUGCGGCUCUCCGCGACAACUUGGCCUGCUCUCCAACAGCCUCAGCAGCAGCAGAGGUCUGUUCAUUUCUGAUACCUGGUACCCGUGACAAUCUUACCCUGCCAAGCCUCACAGUCCCGGCCAAGUGGCUCACCUCAGCUCUCUGCGCUUGCCUUCGCCCCUCUUGCUCAGUCCCUAGUGAGAAGUGGUGGGUCAACGAGGCGCCGAUGCUGGCCGCUCACCUCCAAGAGCCAAGGAAGGUGCCCUAGGCGUCGCAGGUCCAGCCCCGGGGCUGAUUUAAAUAACUAAUAAGCUCAGAGAAAUUUUACGAGGGGAACUUUUCCUUUUAGUAUCAAUAAAGCUUAGUAAUUGGG
This 1838-nucleotide long non-coding RNA is filed under the name Mus musculus (house mouse). RNAcentral describes it as "long non-coding RNA chr1:56976802-56978640". The record is from RNAcentral. Lineage: Eukaryota; Metazoa; Chordata; Mammalia; Rodentia; Muridae.